RNAcentral lists this ribosomal RNA (464 nucleotides) under uncultured bacterium. Its description in RNAcentral is "bacterial SSU rRNA". It matches the Rfam family "Bacterial small subunit ribosomal RNA", at positions 28 to 492 of the family's 1533-position model. The record is from RNAcentral.
GAUGAACGCUGGCGGCGUGCUUAACACAUGCAAGUCGAACGAAGCACUUUGGACAGAUUCUUCGGAUGAAGUCCUUAGUGACUGAGUGGCGGACGGGUGAGUAACGCGUGGGUAACCUGCCUCAUACAGGGGGAUAACAGUUAGAAAUGGCUGCUAAUACCGCAUAAGCGCACGGCAUCGCAUGAUGCAGUGUGAAAAACUCCGGUGGUAUGAGAUGGACCCGCGUUGGAUUAGCUAGUUGGCAGGGUAACGGCCUACCAAGGCGACGAUCCAUAGCCGGCCUGAGAGGGUGAACGGCCACAUUGGGACUGAGACACGGCCCAGACUCCUACGGGAGGCAGCAGUGGGGAAUAUUGCACAAUGGGGGAAACCCUGAUGCAGCGACGCCGCGUGAGCGAAGAAGUAUUUCGGUAUGUAAAGCUCUAUCAGCAGGGAAGAAAAUGACGGUACCUGACUAAGAAGCC